GAUGAACGCUGGCGGCGUGCCUAAUACAUGCAAGUCGAGCGAACAGACGAGGAGCUUGCUCCUCUGACGUUAGCGGCGGACGGGUGAGUAACACGUGGAUAACCUACCUAUAAGACUGGGAUAACUUCGGGAAACCGGAGCUAAUACCUGAUAACAUGUUGAACCGCAUGGUUCAACAGUGAAAGACGGUCUUGCUGUCACUUCUAGAUGGACCCGCGCCGCAUUAGCUAGUUGGUAAGGUAACGGCUUACCAAGGCAACGAUGCGUAGCCGACCUGAGAGGGUGAUCGGCCACACUGGAACUGAGACACGGUCCAGACUCCUACGGGAGGCAGCAGUAGGGAAUCUUACGCAAUGGGCGAAAGCCUGACGGAGCAACGCCGAGUGAGUGAUGAAGGUCUUCGGAUCGUAAAACUCUGUUAUUAGGGAAGAACAAAUGUGUAAGUAACUAUGCACGUCUUGACGGUACCUAAUCAGAAAGCCACGGCUAACUACGU
This 496-nucleotide ribosomal RNA is filed under the name uncultured bacterium. RNAcentral's name for it is "partial 16S ribosomal RNA". It matches the Rfam family "Bacterial small subunit ribosomal RNA", at positions 28 to 506 of the family's 1533-position model. The record is from RNAcentral.